GUACCGGACGAACGUUAUUCGGGAAUCACUGGGGGCUUAAAGAGUGCGUAGGCGGCCCUGCAGGGUGGGGUGUGAAAGCCCACGGGCCUAACCGUGGGAAUUGCGCUCCAAACCGCAGGGCUUGAGGGAGAUAGGGGUGAGCGGAACUGAUGGUGGAGCGGUGAAAUGCGUUGAUAUCAUCAGGAACACCUGUGGCGAAGGCGGCUCACUGGGUCUCUUCUGACGCUGAGGCACGAAAGCUAGGGGAGCGAACGGGAUUAGAUACCCCGGUAGUCCUAGCUGUAAACGAUGAGCACUAGAUCGAGGGGGCCUCCACACCUUCUCGGUCGUAGCGAAAGUGUUAAGUGCUCCGCCUGGGGAGUAUGGUCGCAAGGCUG
Molecule: ribosomal RNA, 377 nt
Filed under: uncultured organism
Description: partial 16S ribosomal RNA
Rfam family: Bacterial small subunit ribosomal RNA
Source: RNAcentral